AGCGCGAGCUAUACAUGCAAGUCGAGCGCGGGAAGCAGGCAGAUCCUCUUCGGAGGUGACGCCUGUGGAACGAGCGGCGGACGGGUGAGUAACACGUGGGCAACCUGCCUGUAAGAUUGGGAUAACCCCGGGAAACCGGGGCUAAUACCGGAUAAUACUUUUCGUUGCAUAACGAGAAGUUGAAAGGCGGCUUUUAGCUGUCACUUACAGAUGGGCCCGCGGCGCAUUAGCUAGUUGGUAAGGUAACGGCUUACCAAGGCGACGAUGCGUAGCCGACCUGAGAGGGUGAUCGGCCACACUGGGACUGAGACACGGCCCAGACUCCUACGGGAGGCAGCAGUAGGGAAUCUUCCGCAAUGGACGAAAGUCUGACGGAGCAACGCCGCGUGAGUGAUGAAGGUUUUCGGAUCGUAAAACUCUGUUGUCAGGGAAGAACAAGUGCCGUUCAAAUAGGGCGGCACCUUGACGGUACCUGACCAGAAAGCCCCGGCUAACUACGUGCCAGCAGCCGCGGUAAUACGUAGGGGGCAAGCGUUGUCCGGAAUUAUUGGGCGUAAAGCGCGCGCAGGCGGUCCUUUAAGUCUGAUGUGAAAGCCCACG
This 600-nucleotide ribosomal RNA is filed under the name Virgibacillus salarius. RNAcentral describes it as "bacterial SSU rRNA". It matches the Rfam family "Bacterial small subunit ribosomal RNA", at positions 41 to 606 of the family's 1533-position model. Lineage: Bacteria; Bacillati; Bacillota; Bacilli; Caryophanales; Bacillaceae. The record is from RNAcentral.